CUCGGGUGGGGGGGUGGGUAAUGUUUAGUAGGUGUUCCUUCUCUUUAGGAAGCAGUAUGUAGGUGAGGUCAUCUUUUGUAUCGUGUAUCUGGGAGCUUUGCGAGUAGGUUUUCGGUCAAGCUUUGUUUGUAUUUGCAGAUGCUUCCACAUCCAGUACCGUGUCGCCUCGUUCCGUGGAGUGUCAUGACUACUUCUCUGUGACUGUCAUGUUAGCAUAUGGGAGCGAAGGUCCGUGUACAAAGGACAAGAAGAUCUUGAGAGCAGGAGCGGCUGUCAAAGUUAAGUCUCUGCCGAAGGGUUCGGUAGCCAGAAGUAUUUGAGCCAUUGAGGCUCCUCGUUUAGGGGCGGGAGUCCUCUAAACUCUCCCCAUUCUGAAUGGGCACGUGAGGGGUGGGCGGGAGCUCGUUGCACGGAGGGAGCGUGCGUUUCCCCCGAGGGAAGGUCGAUCUCUGGCAGAGUGACCUGUCCGUAACUAGAGAUGCUCCGUUCUCAGUUCUUCUUCUCUCGUACGCAGCACUGGGUUUGCAUCACAGGUCACCGCUUCCACCUUGCGUUUUCCUCUACACGGUGGUGGUUUUCCGAGGAGGAUGUGAGCAUCCUCGUUAGCGAUGGGUCACAAUGUGGUGGGACAUGUGGAGGGCCACCAGUAUGUGGAUUAGACUGUUUAGGGUGGGUGGGUGCUUCUCUGAGGGGGCUGUAAUGUUUAGUAGGUGUUCCUUCUCUUAAGGAAGCAGUAUGCAGGUGAAGUCAUGUUUCAUGUUGUGUAGCUGGGCGCUUUGUGAGUCUGUUCGCAGUCCAGCUUUGUUUGUCUUUGCAGACGUGUCCAGAUCUGGCACCGUGUCGUUCCGUGGAGGGUCGUGACUACUUCUCUGCGACCGUAUCAUGACAUCGCCGUACGGCUGUCAACUUAUGGGAGCAAAGGCCUGUGUAUAAAGGACAAGAAGAUCUUGAGAGCGGGAGCAGCUGUCAAAGUUAAGUCUCUGCCGAAGGGUUCGAUAGUCAGAAGUAUUUGUGCCAUUAAGGCUUCUUGUUUAGGGACAGAAGUCCUGUAAACUCUGCUAGUUCUUAACCGGCGUGGGAGGGAGCUCAUUGUACGGAGGGAGCGUGCGCUCUCCUUGGAGGAAGGUCGAGUGCUGGCAGAGUGACCUUUCUGUAACUAGAGAUGCUCCAUUCUCUGUUCUUCUCUCUUACGCAGCACUGGGUUUGCAUCACUGGUCACCACUACCUUGUUUGUCUGUCCUCUACUGGGUGUUGGUUUCCUCAGGAGGAUGUGAGCAUUGUAGUUAGCGAUGGGUCCCAGUCAGGGUGGGAAAAGGCUGUGAGUAUUGUGUAAUUUUUCAGUAUGUUGUGUCUUCAUUUUAACUACAUAGAAGCAGUCGGUUGCUCCUUCAUUGUGGGUAUGAAUGCGUCAGGGCUCUUUCGGCGUGUUGAAUAGGGCAGUUUAGCAAAGGGAAUGUAGUAUUGCGCCGUUGUGGAUUUAGCAAUAAUGUGGCAUUUAUUGUUUGCAUGCCACAGGGGGAUCGGAGUCCAGAACAGAGGGAAUUGGCUGGGGCAAGCGCAGCCCGUUUGGUCUACGUGGCGCCGGCGGGAGCAGAGGAGCCGGUUGCAUCCAUGAGGUACUUAAGAGGCUUCAGGAGGUGCGGUUUGGAGAAGAAUGUCGGGCAAGGUGCGUGUGAGUACUCUUACGGUCCUUCGCGGGGAUGACAGCGGUGGAGGGAAAAUAGAGAGCCGACCUCACGUGCUUCCAAGCUGUGUCUCGUCACAUAUCACUGGCGCGCGCUACUUUUUGUCACCGUCUAAGGAUAAUGAGCUGAUGAUGAAAAUGCGUGAUGAAAUGAAGAGGAGAUAAUGCGGGCGCAUCCGGGGACACGGAAACGUGACAGUCCCGUGCGGAGGUAGAGGAAAUCAUCGUUCAGUCGAGGUUCUGUGCGAAGAUGGGGUCCGAUUUGGCAAAGAACCAGUGAAGUUGAAGUAUGACUGUGGGGGACACGAAGUACUCGUUUCUCAAAAUGGAAGCGGAUUCGAUGUCAGGUUUGCAAGUUAAGUAUGGUUAUCGCUCGUGGUAUUUUUGUCGGCCUAUUCUAUGUCGAAGAUGGGAAAUGCGUUUCACCGGGUGCACGUCAAUGGGAAUUUCACGUGCUUUUGUCGUGUGUGUUUUAGAUGUUUAGCAUUCGUUCUACAGCCGUCGAACGUGCAAAUCUGUUUUUCAUCCUUAUAGGAAGCCAUUUCCGUCCGUGCGGUCCGAAGAUAUCGGUGUUACCGGAGAAUAGUUUGGCGUGCUUCGUUCGGAAGAAUCGGGGUUCGAACGUAUAUUUUUCGGGUUGCAAUGUGAAGUGUCCUCUGUUCGAUGGCUGGAACGUAGUAGAGCAGCAGGGCCGGUGUCACUGCGUUCUGGUAUCUAGCAGAACCGCCAAUAUCACAAAACGGCCUUAUUGUCGGUCGCGCAAUCUCAACCGCAGAGAUUGGGUUCAUUUGUUCGGUCACUCGUGUGAAGCAGUUCCUGUAAUUACUUGCACAAAACGUAACUGUCUUUCGAAAGGAGUAGUUAGUUUGCCACCUGAAACGUUCCAGCCAUCGAAGUCUCAAGAGCACACCGUAAGGGGUUGUAUCAGUGUUUUGGGCAUUCCGAAGUGUUUGUCACUCAUUGCCAUAUCGUUGCACAUGCUGUAUGUGUAGAGCUGUAAUGUAUAGCUUGGGUUGCGGUCAGAUGACUCAUUUAGUCAUCCACGUGGUAGCGUGCUAAGUACUGCAGUGAUCUAGAAACCACGGUGCAGUGCAGUCAAACAGCUAGAAGGCUGACGUCGUUUCCAAUUUGUCAGCCUCUUGGCUGUUUUGCUGCACUGCACCAUGGUUGGGACUGUCCCGGACAGUCUUUGACUUAACUGUUUGCAUAUGGAGGUGCUGUUGAGGGAGCAUUCUGGCCAGUUGCUAGGUGAGUUAUGGUUGAGCCCCAUACCCACCUGUCACAAUAUGUGCAAGGUUUUGUACAGGUGAUGUUUGGAAGUAUAUGGAAAUGAAACAUGAAUGUCGCUUUUGGUGAUCGAUUACAUACCGAGAGUAUAGGAACGUACAGAACGUCUGACAAUGUUUUUGUUUGCAUUGAACAUGUAUGCAGUGUCCAAUAUUUGGAAGCUGUUACUGUACCCGAUGCCAGGUAGAGCCAAUAAAAACACUCUGCUGCU
Long non-coding RNA from Caretta caretta (loggerhead turtle), 3182 nucleotides. RefSeq lists it as uncharacterized. Lineage: Eukaryota; Metazoa; Chordata; Testudines; Cheloniidae. The record is from RefSeq and is a predicted model, not a curated record.